This 705-nucleotide long non-coding RNA is filed under the name Olea europaea subsp. europaea. The record is from RNAcentral. Lineage: Eukaryota; Viridiplantae; Streptophyta; Magnoliopsida; Lamiales; Oleaceae.
CUUCCGUUAAAUAGACACACAAAUUGCAUUUAUAUCAUAAAAAGGGGCAAUUUUGUCAAGCCGCUACUCUUACCAAAAGUGGCAUCAAGUUGUUAACUUUGACUGAGUAAGAAUUUCUUUAGAUGAAUGAUUAAUUCUUUUCUUUAGAUGAAUGAUUCAUUCUUUCAAAUAACCAUUAUGAACGGUACCAUUUUCACUAUGUAUUGAACCAUUUCCAUUGCACAUAUUUAACUAUCACUAAAUCCAAAAUCUAAAAUUUCAUAGACAUUCCCAAGCAAACAUAUGACAAAAAUACGUAUUGGAAAUGUCCUUUUUUGCAUAACCAAUGUCCAAAUAAAUAGAAUCGAGAGCUUUCUCCUAAUCCUAGCUAGCUCUUCUCAUCAAAUCAAUCAAUAACUUCGUAAAACAUCGUAAAGAUUUAAAUGAAUAUUCACACAGCCUCAAAAACCAUGGUGUACUCAACUUGUGACUAAAUUGCAUCUUGAUUUGCAUAGAAAAACCUAUCAUCCAAAUUAUAUUUUUCGUUUUAUUCAUCUCUCCAUUCAAUAACAGGAACAUAGCAUCCUUCUUUAAUUGGAUCAGACCUCCCAACAUGCUCAUUUAGAGGUGGAUUUAAAUCGUCAGAUGAAAGUGCUCGUUUCUCUUUUGAAGGUACAAGAUAUAUCUCCUCAACCCUUGCUUCAUUUCUAUCCCUCAGCAUAUUUU